CCUACGGGAGGCUGCAGUGGGGCAUAUUGCGCAAUGGGCGAAAGCCUGACGCAGCGACGCCGCGUGAGGGAUGAAGGUCUUCGGAUCGUACACCUCUGUCAGCAGGGAAGAACGGUCACUGUGCUAAUCAGCAGUGAAUUGACGGUACCUGCAAAGGACGCACCGGCUAACUCCGUGCCAGCAGCCGCGGUAAUACGGAGGGUGCGAGCGUUAAUCGGAAUUACUGGGCGGAAAGCUCUCGUAGUCGGUAUGUCAAGUCAAGGGUGAAAUCCCCGCGCUCAACGUGGGAACUGCCUUUGAAACUGGCAAACUGGAGUGUGUGAGAGGAUAGUGGAAUUCCAGGUGUAGGAGUGAAAUCCGUAGAUAUCAGGAGGAACAUCAGUGGCGAAGGCGACUAUCUGGCACAUAACUGACGCUGAGGAGCGAAAGCGUGGGUAGCAAACAGGAUUAGAUACCCGGGUAGUC
RNAcentral lists this ribosomal RNA (465 nucleotides) under uncultured bacterium. RNAcentral describes it as "partial 16S ribosomal RNA". It matches the Rfam family "Bacterial small subunit ribosomal RNA", at positions 338 to 795 of the family's 1533-position model. The record is from RNAcentral.